This is a small nuclear RNA of Hemicordylus capensis (graceful crag lizard), 109 nucleotides long. NCBI's taxonomy places the organism in Eukaryota, Metazoa, Chordata, Lepidosauria, Squamata, Cordylidae. The record is from RefSeq and is a predicted model, not a curated record.
AUGUGCUUGCUUUAGUGACAUAUAUACUAAAACUGGAAGGAUAGAGAGAAGACCAGCAUGGCCCCUGAGCAAGAAUGGCAUGCAAAUUCGUGAAGUGUUCCGUAUUUGG